RNAcentral lists this long non-coding RNA (1414 nucleotides) under Panthera leo (lion). RNAcentral's name for it is "lncRNA (ENSPLOG00000003833.1)". The record is from RNAcentral. Lineage: Eukaryota; Metazoa; Chordata; Mammalia; Carnivora; Felidae.
CUUAUAAUUCCAAAAAUAUUUAAGGUGUAUGUAAGCAAGUUAAUACACACAGAGAAUUAUUCCUAUACUACAUUUAAUAUAUAUUAGUUUGCUUAUUUGAAUCAGAAUUGCCUGGGGAACUGUUAGAUAAUAUAUGUGUCUCUACCCUAUGAAGACUUACUUGGUAUUUGUAUUUUGAAAAAAAAAAUAACUGCCCUUGGUUAUUUUGGUGGGUUCCUCUUGUUGAGAACCACUAGUGUAAGAUAGAUCUGUUCAGAGCCAUGGGACACAUCAGGAAGCCACUGGGCCCAAGUCCAGGUGAUUUGGACAGAAAAGCAGCUGCAUGGAUCCUUCUGCGAGCUGUGAGCAAUCGGUUCCACCAUCCACAGUUAAGGGCAUCUGCAACCACUCAGCUGAUAAGUCUAAAGGCCUCCUGUAGGUCAGAACCUGACAGAGCAUGACGUGGAACACAAGAGGCAUGGGGAGGCGUCUUGAUAUAGACAGGGAGGUAGUUGAGAACCAGCUGUGUAUGAAUACCAGGCUUCUACUGUUUCUAGGUAUGCAAACUCACAGGGCUAGGUGAGGAGAGAGGUCACAGCAGGGGAGCCGGAUUUGGGAGGCGCGUUAAAGGCAGAGGGUACACUCUGGAUCAGAUCUGUAAUCUGUAAUAAUGCAACAUGUUGAGAGGACCAGCAAUCCUGGGGUGGCAUGGCUGGGCUUUGAGGACAUAUUGAUGUACCAUGCUCCUUUCAUGAUACAAAAAUGACUUUCAUGCAAUUCAUUCUUGUGUGAAGGUCCAUGGUGGAUCUAGAAGACAAAAUCAUGAGGUAUUUUGCCAGUUUCAAUAACCAAGUUUUUGGGGAGAAAACGAAUGGCUGGAGUGGGGGGGGGUGGUGAAAGCCUGGAAGGCGGUGAAAUCUGAGGGGAUGCUGGCUUCCCUCCAGCUGAAGCAGGCUCUUGUGAAGGCUGGGCUAGAAUGGCCUGUCCAUCAUCGCAAACUGGCGGGUGUUCCCAGAAGAGCCGCUGAGGUGUGAGAGAAACUGCCUUGUUACCAGGAAUGUGGGAAAGAGUGGAGGUUUUAUGUAUAAUUUCCUUUUCUCAGAAUCCAAAAUAGUCAUAAAUAAGCCCAAAGAGGCAACAGGCAGGAGAAUGAAACAUGAAUGCCUAUCAUUUCUGAGGAGCUAGAAACUGAGAAGAAUUCAAAUAGAUCUUUCACUGUGGAUUUGGACUCCGAAGUAACUUGGCCAAAGCUAAAUGUAGUCAGUUUACAAAAAGGGCUCUGCAAGGUGACAUAAUGCCACAGAGAUGAAGAUUUUCACAGUGGAAAAAACAGGUUUGGCACAGACAAGCUCUAAACUCUUUGGAAAUCAUAAUCCUGUACUCUCCACAGAUCCUUGAGAGUUAAAGGCUAAGACUGUUAGAACAUCAUGACAGG